This 253-nucleotide unclassified non-coding RNA is filed under the name uncultured Caldilineaceae bacterium. Its description in RNAcentral is "contains 16S-23S intergenic spacer region". It matches the Rfam family "Bacterial small subunit ribosomal RNA", at positions 524 to 776 of the family's 1533-position model. Lineage: Bacteria; Bacillati; Chloroflexota; Caldilineae; Caldilineales; Caldilineaceae. The record is from RNAcentral.
UACGUAGGUGGCGAGCGUUAUCCGGAAUUACUGGGCGUAAAGCGCACGCAGGCGGCUAUGUAAGUCUGACGUGAAAGCUCCUGGCUUAACUGGGAGAGGUCGUUGGAAACUGCGUAGCUUGAGGCAAUGAGAGGGGUGCGGAAUUCCCGGUGUAGUGGUGGAAUGCGUAGAUAUCGGGGGGAACACCAGUGGCGAAAGCGGCACCCUGGCAUUGGCCUGACGCUCAGGUGCGAAAGCGUGGGUAGCAAACAGG